This 1469-nucleotide long non-coding RNA is filed under the name Brassica napus (rape). Its description in RNAcentral is "long non-coding RNA (BNAP_LNC011888)". The record is from RNAcentral. Lineage: Eukaryota; Viridiplantae; Streptophyta; Magnoliopsida; Brassicales; Brassicaceae.
CUCGAGCGUCUGUGGCAUUACACCAUCAUCAGCAGCAACCACCAAGACAACUAUAUCAGUAACAGCAGCUCCCCGAGCACGCAUCUCACUGAAAGCGGCGUGACCAGGCGUGUCUAGGAAGGUGAUUGAAGUGCCGGAGUCCGGCAUGCCCACCACGAACGCACCCACGUGCUGAGUGAUCCCACCUGCUUCUCUUGCCGCCACGGAGGUGUUUCUUAAAGCGUCUAACAGAGAGGUCUUUCCAUGAUCGACAUGGCCCAUUACCGUUACAACCGGAGGCCUUGGGAGGAUCUGUGAUCCUUCUGUAGUGUGCUGUCUCCUUACAUUGAUCCCUAUUUCCUGCAAAAGAAGAAGAUCUUAACAUGCAAGAUCCAUGACCUUGUAGCUAGAGGUUCGAAUCAUUUUAUUACCAUUGCAAGAAGCUCGGCAACAUCUAUGCUGAUUGCGUCGAACUCCGAACUAACGGUUUCCCCAACAUUGAGGAGAAUGCUCUGCAAAACCGCCAAUGACUCACCAGUACGCUUGGAGAACUCAAGUAAGGUCAUGCCUUCGAACACAUCGACUGUUUUCUCAGCCAAUCCCUUUGCCAAUCUUUGUAGCCUGGGAGGCACAUAAGGAGCUUCAACGGGUGGCUUAUCAGUUUUCUUCUCCCGUUUUGAGAACUUUCCUUUCGUUUUCACAGUCUGCUUCUUGAGCUCACGAUGGCUCAGCUGACGAUCAGGAUCCUCUUUUCUUCUCGCCAGUGUUUCUCGGCUUACAUGAAAGCACCUGCUGCUCAAAAAACACAGGACAGUGAACAUUUCUAUAGAAUAAUAUAUAAGAGAGAAGGAUUAAAAAGUGUAGGCGAAUGGUUUAUACCUUAUGGAUGUGAAGGUUGGGAAAGAUUCAUGAUUAGGCGAGCUGAACCCGAACCCUAAAACAUGAAUAAAAGUGUUCUUUAUCCAUUUUCCACAACGUUAAAAGGAAAUCUUGUAACCAUCCUUUUCACUGUGCUUACCAUUAAUGUACCGAGCGAAUGAGAAAGCAACACUUCCAGAAGUGCUUUUGGAAAACGUAGAGGAAAUAUGUCUCUCCUCAACAACCUGAACGUUUCCUCCGAUAUCUUCAAGCUCUAUCCCCUCAGCGGCGAGCUGGUUCUUGACUCUUUCCGGAUUAGCUCCCGGCUUAUCGCAUUUAUUAAUCGCAACCACAAUCGGAACAUUGGCCGACCUAGCGUGCGCGAUGGCCUCGAGCGUCUGUGGCAUUACACCAUCAUCAGCAGCAACCACCAAGACAACUAUAUCAGUAACAGCAGCUCCCCGAGCACGCAUCUCACUGAAAGCGGCGUGACCAGGCGUGUCUAGGAAGGUGAUUGAAGUGCCGGAGUCCGGCAUGCCCACCACGAACGCACCCACGUGCUGAGUGAUCCCACCUGCUUCUCUUGCCGCCACGGAGGUGUUUCUUAAAGCGUCUAACAGAGAGGUCUUUCC